AAGGGAUAAUCCUCUAUAUGAAGAUUCUGACAACUUGCAGAGGCUGCAAGAUAAACCUCCUCUCUUGUACAAGCUCUCCAAGCUCUCCCUUUUGUCGUUGAUUUUUUGCUGCUUAAUCUUUCCCAAGCUGCUGCCCUGUGAUGAUCUUUUUUGCACUUGGACACCUUGAGAACUUACGGCUGGACCCUUCUAUUGGAGGGAGAAUAAUAAUACGGUAUAUUCAAAAAAAUUGGAACCGUUAAACCAAAACUGUGCUUAUUAUGUUGCUUUAUUUCCCCAAAUUAGGUUUUUGCUUUGGUUUAUUUCUGUUUUUAUUUAGUUGAUGGGAACUUGUAUUAUUACAGUCUUUGCAAAUUAAUUUGUCUCCAAGGUAAAUUCUUAAUAUUCUUGAUUACUAAGAUUGGAUCUCCAAGGUAACUUCUUAAUAUUCUUGAUUACUAAGAUUGGAUCUCCAAGGUAAC
Molecule: unclassified non-coding RNA, 461 nt
Filed under: Hevea brasiliensis (rubber tree)
Lineage: Eukaryota; Viridiplantae; Streptophyta; Magnoliopsida; Malpighiales; Euphorbiaceae
Source: RNAcentral